AGAACGAACGCUGGCGGCAGGCUUAACACAUGCAAGUCGAACGCUCGUAGCAAUACGGGAGUGGCAGACGGGUGAGUAACGCGUGGGAACCUGCCCUGUGGUAGGGAAUAACCGUGGGAAACUGCGGCUAAUACCCUAUGAGUCCUUCGGGAGAAAGAUUUAUCGCCAUAGGAGGGGCCCGCGUCGGAUUAGGUAGUUGGUGGGGUAACGGCCUACCAAGCCUUCGAUCCGUAGCUGGUCUGAGAGGAUGAUCAGCCACACUGGGACUGAGAUACGGCCCAGACUCCUACGGGAGGCAGCAGUGGGGAAUAUUGGACAAUGGGGGCAACCCUGAUCCAGCAAUGCCGCGUGGAUGAUGAAGGCCUUCGGGUUGUAAAGUCCUUUCGGCGGGAAGAUGAUGACGGUACCGCAGAAGAAGCCCCGGCUAACUUCGUGCCAGCAGCCGC
Molecule: ribosomal RNA, 446 nt
Filed under: uncultured bacterium
Lineage: Bacteria
Description: SSU rRNA
Rfam family: Bacterial small subunit ribosomal RNA
Source: RNAcentral